GAUAAUAAUACGUUAAAAGUCUUUAUACUUUUUUCUUUCCUUCUAAGAAUAAUAACUCAAAUAUGCAGACAAUGCCCAAAAGGCGACAGUUUUAUCCCAGUAUAUAUUACCAAAUAAGGAAGACCAAAAAAAACUUGCUGCAGGAAAAGAAACAAAACAAAGGGAGAACAAUAUCUUUGAAGAUUUUGGACCUCCACUGAGAUGAGGCCGACUCUGAGGACUCUGAGAAUCCUGAGGCAUCUAGAGAUCUACCAGCUCCAGUCAGACUCUGCGAUAAUAAAAAGGAGAUGUGCUCUCCAUGUGGAACUCCAUGUGGUCUUUUGCAUCUAUAUAACAUCUGUUUGACUGUAUUUUUAUAAUCACACCCUCCAGUGUCACCCAUAUGAGGAUGGGUUCCCCUUGAAUCUGGUUCCUUUCAAGGUUUCUUCCUUUACCAUCUCAUGCCCCUUUUCCAGUUUGAGUGCUGGUUCGGUUCAGAGCCAGAGCCUAAUUUAGAACCAGUUCUUUCUUUUUCGACAUCCAAAGCACUGGCUCUUAAUCAGCACAUUGUUAGCGCAUUUGAUAAUGUACCUUAAGUAUACUAAUGUUUAAUACACUUUUACUUUACCGCGAUAUGAUACAUUAUCAGCACACAUGAUAGUAAG
Tachysurus vachellii is the source of this 644-nucleotide long non-coding RNA. RefSeq lists it as uncharacterized. NCBI's taxonomy places the organism in Eukaryota, Metazoa, Chordata, Actinopteri, Siluriformes, Bagridae. The transcript has 3 exons. The record is from RefSeq and is a predicted model, not a curated record.